GUCCCAGAGAAGAACAAACCAGGGAAGAGAGGCGGGUGGAAAAGAGGAGAGAGGAACAUGAUUAUCUCACAACAGAGCAAUGUUAUGGUUUCCAUGAGGAUCCUGUUACAUUUCCAAAGAAGGCAAUUGGAUUAAUUUCUUGUAUGUUCUACAGGACCCAUAAAAGGUGUCCAAAGACCCGAAAGAUAUUGACAAACUGGAGAGAAUCCAGAAAAGAGCAACAGAGAUGAGUAGAUACAUGUGAUUUAUGGGGAAAGCUCUGACUAGCUACAUUCCUAUUGCUUGGCUAGCUGAUGACUAAGGAUGGGGAUUGGGGAAAUGAGAGUAGUCUAAAAGUAUGUGAGGAAGAACAACUGCAGGGAAGAAAAGGAAUUCUUUAGGGUGGUGCAGGGGUGGGUACCAGUAGGCGCAAUGGGAUUAAAAUUCAGGC
Mauremys reevesii (Reeves's turtle) is the source of this 430-nucleotide long non-coding RNA. RefSeq lists it as uncharacterized. The transcript is spliced from 3 exons. The record is from RefSeq and is a predicted model, not a curated record. Lineage: Eukaryota; Metazoa; Chordata; Testudines; Geoemydidae.